AACGUAGGAGGCAAGCGUUAUCCGAAUUUACUGGGCGUAAAGCGCGUGCAGGCGGUUCGGUAAGUUGGAUGUGAAAUCUCCUGGCUCAACUGGGAGAGGUCGUUCAAUACUGUCGGACUAGAGGAUGGCAGAGGGAGGUGGAAUUCCCGGUGUAGUGGUGAAAUGCGUAGAUAUCGGGAGGAACACCAGUGGCGAAGGCGGCCUCCUGGACCAUUCCUGACGCUCAGACGCGAAAGCUAGGGGAGCGAACGGG
RNAcentral lists this ribosomal RNA (253 nucleotides) under uncultured bacterium. Its description in RNAcentral is "partial 16S ribosomal RNA". It matches the Rfam family "Bacterial small subunit ribosomal RNA", at positions 524 to 776 of the family's 1533-position model. The record is from RNAcentral.